AUUACAGGGAAAAUUUAAAAGAAAAGGAAAAUGCGAAUAUUAGCCGAUUUGCACACGGCGCGAAAGGGGAGGGACUCAUAUUGUAAAUAAUCCCUCACCGCAAAAACACGCGGGUCAUCGGGGCAGAACACCGGAUCGGGAUGGUUGGUACGACACCGUUUCAGUGCCAUUGGUUACGGACUCGAAACGGCACCGUAUUCAGACCUUUAAAAGACCCCGAAUUUGGCUAUUCAGCCAUUUCCAAAACCCUAGCCCCCAUUUUGCUUCCCCCUCGCCUGGCCCUAGCACUUCCCCUUUAGCGCCGAUCUGUGUCUAUCGGCAGAGACGAACAGCCUCGGGCUUCAAAGGACGGUCAUUUCGGUCGUAGGAUCCCUUCUACCCCGAUUUCAACGAAGUCGAUGGAACCCCUGGCACUUUCGCGAGGUACGGGGCGUGUGCUGGCACUAGGCGUGAGGGGGGCGUACGGGGCUAUCGACGUGGAGGCACGAGCGGCGUUGGGGCUGAGGCGCUGGCAUCGUACAGAGGCACUGUCUGGUUGCUGUUGCAGUGUGAGCCAGGGCUGUUAGGGUUCCCUUUCUUAGAAUACUGGGCCUAUCGGGCUAGUAAUUGAUAUUGGGUCCUGGGCAUUGUAAAUUUGGGUUUAAAAUUGGGUUAUGUAACUUGGACUGAUGGACUGUUAAUAUAUUUUUGUUUAUUAUUAUUCUUUGGUUUUGUGUUUAUACGGGUCCGGGCUAAAUUGGCCCAUUACACUAAUAAUAAUUUCUCCAACUUCAUAAGGCAA
Long non-coding RNA from Gossypium arboreum, 781 nucleotides. RefSeq lists it as uncharacterized. The record is from RefSeq and is a predicted model, not a curated record. The transcript is spliced from 2 exons. Lineage: Eukaryota; Viridiplantae; Streptophyta; Magnoliopsida; Malvales; Malvaceae.